AGCAGCCGCGGUAAUUCCAGCUCCAAUAGCGUAUAUUAAAGUUGUUGCAGUUAGAAAGCUCGUAGUUGAAUUUCGGGAUCAAUACGUCGGUCGUGCUUCGGUACGUACUGGCGUAAUUGAUUUCUCCCUUCUGACGAACCAUGAUGUCAUUAACUUGGUGUCAUGGGAAAUCAGGACUGUUACUUUGAAAAAAUUAGAGUGUUUAAAGCAGGCUCACGCUUGAAUACAUUAGCAUGGAAUAAUGAAAUAGGACGUUCGAUCCUAUUUUGUUGGUUUUUAGGAUCAACGUAAUGAUUAAUAGGGAUAGUUGGGGGCAUUAGUAUUCAAUUGUCAGAGGUGAAAUUCUUGGAUUUAUUGAAGACUAACUACUGCGAAAGCAUUUGCCAAGGAUGUUUUCAUUAAUCAAGAACGAAAGUUAGGGGAUCGAAGACGAUCAGAUACCGUCGUAGU
RNAcentral lists this ribosomal RNA (450 nucleotides) under uncultured Glomeromycotina. RNAcentral describes it as "SSU rRNA". It matches the Rfam family "Eukaryotic small subunit ribosomal RNA", at positions 569 to 1024 of the family's 1831-position model. Lineage: Eukaryota; Fungi; Glomeromycota. The record is from RNAcentral.